GUGCUCUUUAGGAAUGUAGAAACUAUAAUGCUAUUUCCACAGAUGGAUAUAUACAGGAGUUAAGUGGAGAUCGAGUCCAAUUAAUAAUGUUAAUGGUUCCAUCAAUUAUAGAGCCCAUUAACCAAAUCAAGCCUACACCAAUAUCUGCUACAUUACAUAACUAAAAUAAUAGGGACUAAAUAAUAAUACAAUCAAAGAUAAUUAUGUGCUCCUUAACCAUUUAUUUAGACAAUAACUUAGCUCAUAUUUCAUAACAAACUAUGGCCUCUUCCUUCUCUCUGCUUCAACUAGAACUGCCAGCAUGCCUAUUGGACUUUGUUGCUCGGUUGAGUAGCAGGUUGAGCCUCAAAUUUGUGGCUCUGUUUUCCCUUAUUUGAGCAAAUCUAAGGCUUUUAGCCUCUUUUAUUUUUCUAGUAGCCAUCCAUCUAACCAGUAUUAUUUUCUCCUGUCUCUUUCACAUCCUCUCUCUUUUUAUCUCUUCUAUACUUAUUUGAUGAUUUAUGUAGAUCAAGGGGAGACUGUAGGUGUAAUUGACUCAAGUGACAGACCCC
RNAcentral lists this long non-coding RNA (551 nucleotides) under Elaeis guineensis (African oil palm). Its description in RNAcentral is "long non-coding RNA (EGUI_LNC002104)". The record is from RNAcentral. Lineage: Eukaryota; Viridiplantae; Streptophyta; Magnoliopsida; Arecales; Arecaceae.